CCUACGGGAGGCAGCAGUGAGGAAUAUUGGUCAAUGGUCGCAAGACUGAACCAGCCAUGCCGCGUGCAGGAAGACGGUCCUAUGGAUUGUAAACUGCUUUUAUACAGGAAGAAACCCUCCCACGUGUGGGAGCUUGACGGUACUGUAGGAAUAAGGAUCGGCUAACUCCGUGCCAGCAGCCGCGGUAAUACGGAGGAUCCAAGCGUUAUCCGGAAUCAUUGGGUUUAAAGGGUCCGUAGGCGGUCUUAUAAGUCAGUGGUGAAAGCCCAUCGCUCAACGAUGGAACUGCCAUUGAUACUGUAAGACUUGAAUGCUUAGGAAGUAACUAGAAUAUGUAGUGUAGCGGUGAAAUGCUUAGAUAUUACAUGGAAUACCAAUUGCGAAGGCAGGUUACUACUAAGUGAUUGACGCUGAUGGACGAAAGCGUGGGGAGCGAACAGGAUUAGAUACCCUUGUAGUC
Molecule: ribosomal RNA, 460 nt
Filed under: Weissella confusa
Lineage: Bacteria; Bacillati; Bacillota; Bacilli; Lactobacillales; Lactobacillaceae
Description: bacterial SSU rRNA
Rfam family: Bacterial small subunit ribosomal RNA
Source: RNAcentral